CAAGUAAACAACGCAGACAGUGAAUGCCUUGCUUUUCGUCUCCGAUGAAGGACGUACAUAGCCACGAAAGUCGCCGGUUAGCUGCUACGAAGCUUUGACCCGACGGUGUCCGAAUGGGGAAACCCAUCCCGCUUUGCGGGAUACCUUGAAGCCAAGUUCUUGACGUAAGUUGAGAUAUAACUUUAAGUGUGGAAACCACCUGAACUGAAACAUCUAAGUAAGGUGAGGAAAAUAAAUCAAACGAGAUUCCGUUAGUAGCGGCGAGCGAAAACGGAACAGUCUAAACCCAAUACCACUUCGGUGGUAAUGGGGGUUGCAGGACUCUAAUGUGAGAUCUCUAUUUUAGUAGUAGAACGGUCUGGAAUGUCCGAUCAAAGAAAGUGAAAAUCUUGUAUACAAAACUAAAGUAGGCUCUAGGAGUAUCCUAAGUACUACGGAGCACAUACUCUGUGGGAAUCCGGGGGAACCAUCCUCCAAGACUAAAUAAGACGAAAGAGCGAUAGUGAACUAGUACCGUGAGGGAAAGGUGAAAAGCUGGGUGAGACACCCAAUGAAAUAGAACCUGAAACUGUUUGCGGUCAAACCGUGAGAGCACCAAUUUAUUGGUGUGAUCGCGUGCCUAUUGAAGAAUGAGCCGGCGAGUUUUCAGUUACUUCUUAUGUCUAACUCCGAUUUUGGAGGCAGGCGAAGGGAAACCAAGUGUGAAUAGCGCGUUGGGAGUAACUGGAAGACCCGAAUCUGGGUGAGCUAAUCAUGAGCAGGGUGAAUGCCAGAGAAAUCUGUCAGGAGGCCCGAACCCGUUGUCGUUGCAAUGACAUGGGACGACUUGUGAUUAGGGGCAAUAUACUUAUCGAACCCAGGUAUAGCUGGUUCUCCCCGAAAGGUCUAUGGGGACCGUGGUCCGUCACGUUCUGCUGGUUGUAGAGCACUGGAUGGGUUGGAGAGCGCAAGCAAUUCAACUCAAUCAAACUCCGAAUACUAGCGUGAAUUAUCGGACUAGAAAGCCGCAUCGGGCUAAGCUGAUGCGACGAAAGGGAAACAACCCUUGACUCUCAGUUAAGGCCUCUAAAU
This 1071-nucleotide ribosomal RNA is filed under the name Candidatus Woesebacteria bacterium RIFOXYC1_FULL_41_14. RNAcentral describes it as "bacterial LSU rRNA". It matches the Rfam family "Bacterial large subunit ribosomal RNA", at positions 1 to 1053 of the family's 2925-position model. The record is from RNAcentral. Lineage: Bacteria; Candidatus Woeseibacteriota.